UUCCCGCGCAAAGAUGGGUCCAUAUAUUGGACCAUAACAGACCUGAAAACUGUCUAAAUCCAGCAAUGGUGGUGGCAUCUUGAAGGGCACAUCUUUCUCUAUCCAUUGAUGUUGUGUUUAAGCGCAAAGAGGGGUACAUAUAUUGGACCAUAACAGACCUGAAAACUGUCUAAAUCCAACAAACUUGGUAGCAUCUGAAAGAACACAUCUUUCUCUAUACAUUAAUGUUGUGUUCCCAAGCAAAGAUGGGUUCCUAUAUUAGACCAUAACAGACCUGAAAACUGUCCAAAUCCAGCAAUGGUGGUGGCAU
Long non-coding RNA from Acanthaster planci (crown-of-thorns starfish), 310 nucleotides. The record is from RefSeq and is a predicted model, not a curated record. NCBI's taxonomy places the organism in Eukaryota, Metazoa, Echinodermata, Asteroidea, Valvatida, Acanthasteridae.